UACGGGGGGGGCAAGCGUUGUUCGGAAUUACUGGGCGUAAAGCGUGCGCAGGCGGUUCGCUAAGACAGAUGUGAAAUCCCCGGGCUUAACCUGGGAACUGCAUUUGUGACUGGCGGGCUAGAGUAUGGCAGAGGGGGGUAGAAUUCCACGUGUAGCAGUGAAAUGCGUAGAGAUGUGGAGGAAUACCGAUGGCGAAGGCAGCCCCCUGGGCCAAUACUGACGCUCAUGCACGAAAGCGUGGGGAGCAAACAGG
RNAcentral lists this ribosomal RNA (253 nucleotides) under uncultured bacterium. RNAcentral describes it as "partial 16S ribosomal RNA". It matches the Rfam family "Bacterial small subunit ribosomal RNA", at positions 524 to 776 of the family's 1533-position model. The record is from RNAcentral.